GGAAGUGCCAAGGUCACUGGUGGGCCUCCCGGACUUCAAAUCCGGUGUGAGGGACUAAAACUCUCUCAGGUGGGUUCGAUUCCCAUGCACUUCCGCCA
Molecule: transfer RNA, 98 nt
Filed under: Syntrophobacterales bacterium
Lineage: Bacteria; Pseudomonadati; Thermodesulfobacteriota; Syntrophobacteria; Syntrophobacterales
Also listed under: 1 other name
Description: tRNA-Sec
Rfam family: Selenocysteine transfer RNA
Source: RNAcentral